GGGGAAAUAGCUCAGUUGGUUAGAGUGCUGGUCUGUCACGCCAGAAGUCGCGGGUUCGAACCCCCCUUUCCCCG
RNAcentral lists this transfer RNA (74 nucleotides) under Triticum aestivum (bread wheat). It matches the Rfam family "tRNA". Rfam says of the family: Transfer RNA (tRNA) molecules are approximately 80 nucleotides in length. Their secondary structure includes four short double-helical elements and three loops (D, anti-codon, and T loops). Further hydrogen bonds mediate the characteristic L-shaped molecular structure. tRNAs have two regions of fundamental functional importance: the anti-codon, which is responsible for specific mRNA codon recognition, and the 3' end, to which the tRNAs corresponding amino acid is attached (by aminoacyl-tRNA synthetases). tRNAs cope with the degeneracy of the genetic code in two manners: having more than one tRNA (with a specific anti-codon) for a particular amino acid; and 'wobble' base-pairing, i.e. permitting non-standard base-pairing at the 3rd anti-codon position. The record is from Rfam by way of RNAcentral. Lineage: Eukaryota; Viridiplantae; Streptophyta; Magnoliopsida; Poales; Poaceae.